Molecule: ribosomal RNA, 301 nt
Filed under: uncultured bacterium
Lineage: Bacteria
Description: partial 16S ribosomal RNA
Rfam family: Bacterial small subunit ribosomal RNA
Source: RNAcentral
CAGCAGCCACGGUAAUACGUAGAGUGCAAGCGUUAAUCGGAAUUACUGGGCGUAAAGCGUGCGCAGGCGGUUAUAUAAGACAGAUGUGAAAUCCCCGGGCUCAACCUGGGAACUGCAUUUGUGACUGUAUAGCUAGAGUACGGCAGAGGGGGAUGGAAUUCCGCGUGUAGCAGUGAAAUGCGUAGAUAUGCGGAGGAACACCGAUGGCGAAGGCAAUCCCCUGGGCCUGUACUGACGCUCAUGCACGAAAGCGUGGGGAGCAAACAGGAUUAGAUACCCCAGUAGUCCCUGUCUCUUAUAC